RNAcentral lists this transfer RNA (79 nucleotides) under Candidatus Bathyarchaeota archaeon. RNAcentral's name for it is "tRNA-Gly". It matches the Rfam family "tRNA". Rfam says of the family: Transfer RNA (tRNA) molecules are approximately 80 nucleotides in length. The record is from RNAcentral. Lineage: Archaea; Thermoproteati; Candidatus Bathyarchaeota.
GCGGCCGUUGUCUAGAACUUGGUUAGGACAUCGGCUUCCCAAGCCGAUAACCCGGGUUCGAAUCCCGGCGGCCGCACCA